UGGGGAAUAUUGGACAAUGGGCGCAAGCCUGAUCCAGCCAUACCGCGUGGGUGAAGAAGGCCUUCGGGUUGUAAAGCCCUUUUGUUGGGAAAGAAAUCCAGCUGGUUAAUACCCGGUUGGGAUGACGGUACCCAAAGAAUAAGCACCGGCUAACUUCGUGCCAGCAGCCGCGGUAAUACGAAGGGUGCAAGCGUUACUCGGAAUUACUGGGCGUAAAGCGUGCGUAGGUGGUCGUUUAAGUCUGUUGUGAAAGCCCUGGGCUCAACCUGGGAACUGCAGUGGAAACUGGACGACUAGAGUGUGGUAGAGGGUAGCGGAAUUCCUGGUGUAGCAGUGAAAUGCGUAGAGAUCAGGAGGAACAUCCAUGGCGAAGGCAGCUACCUGGACCAACACUGACACUGAGGCACGAAAGCGUGGGGAGCAAACAGGAUUAGAUACCCUGGUAGUCCACGCCCUAAACGAUGCGAACUGGAUGUUGGGUGCAAUUUGGCACGCAGUAUCGAAGCUAACGCGUUAAGUUCGCCGCCUGGGGAGUACGGUCGCAAGACUGAAACUCAAAGGAAUUGAC
Molecule: ribosomal RNA, 568 nt
Filed under: uncultured bacterium
Lineage: Bacteria
Description: partial 16S ribosomal RNA
Rfam family: Bacterial small subunit ribosomal RNA
Source: RNAcentral